UCAUUGUGGGACACAUUAUCCUGGACCCGUCCCAGCUUCAAAUAAUCGUAGCAGAAGAUUUAUUAAUAUAUAAUGUAACAAAAACCUUUAAUCAUAAGAUGAAUACCAGAUGAUUCCAUUUAUCGUAAAUUUUUCUAGGUUAUCAGUUGGAUCUAUAUUAUUAUUCUUGCUUUUUGCUAUUUUGUCUUUAUAUUUUCUAGUUGGAGUUUUAUAUCGAAAAUGUUAUAGGCGACACUCUGGUUAUGAAAUUCUUCCAAACCAUGAUUUUUGGGUGGAUUUACCAUUUUUAAUAAGAGAUGGAUAUAUGUAUAUGGUUAGAGGUUGUCAGGUUGAACCUUUUUACGACCAGAUAUAAUCUCAGAUAUUUACUAAUUUGUGUAGUUCUUAAUUUUUUCAGUUAUAUAUGCCCGAAUAUUUUAUAAUUUAUAUGUAAUUAUCUCAAGAUUCAUAUUAAUUGCCCUAGGUUCUAAAUAACAUUGUAUAUAAUAUAAUAAAACUUUUAAAGAAUUACUUAUAUAUUAGUUAAUUGUCUUUAGUUAUAGAAUUAUGAAUUAUAAAUACACAAGACAUUUUUGAUAAAAUUAAUUCUUUUCACUCAUAGUGAUAUUAAUUUUAAUUAGAUUAUCUUUUAUAUGAUAUCUAAGCUAUCCUUUAUACUUUGUGGAGACAAUAUAGUGACUUGGGGAAAAAUUUAAGGUAAAUGAUUAUGAGAGGGGCCUUUUUUUGGGCAGGCAUGUUUAAAAAGCUAAGCUUGUUAUUUAAACUUCAUUUUUUUAAGAAGUAAGAAAAUAAAAAAAAUUAUGUAUACAAUUUAAUUAAUGAAUUGAGUGGAGAGAGA
Gordionus sp. m RMFG-2023 is the source of this 838-nucleotide long non-coding RNA. RefSeq lists it as uncharacterized. NCBI's taxonomy places the organism in Eukaryota, Metazoa, Nematomorpha, Gordioida, Chordodea, Parachordodidae. The record is from RefSeq and is a predicted model, not a curated record. The transcript is spliced from 4 exons.